CCUUUCUCUCUCUCUUCCUUCCUAUCUCUUUGCAGCCAGGAGAAAACUUCCCUCCAUUCGGAGCCCGGAUUGCCCUCCUUGCUCCCUACACCUGUGACAACUCCUUCAGGUGCCGGCAGUGGGCGUCCCAGUGCAUCACCUGCCUUAUGCACAUACAAGCCAAGACGAGAGUCACCUUAGAAGCAGAAGAAGAAAUGCUCUCUGCCUGCAUUGGUUUACAGACCGACGUCCCCAGCGAUCUGUUCAGAGCAUCCUCCAGAAUAGCAAAGGUGGUUAGUGCCUAUUUUCCACCAGAGCAAGCUCUGGACUUCAUGCAGGUCAUUCUUGAAGACCUGGUCUCCGGACAUGAAACGUGUGCUAUUGCUGCAGGCCACUGGCUUCUAAC
This 385-nucleotide long non-coding RNA is filed under the name Salvator merianae (Argentine black and white tegu). Its description in RNAcentral is "lncRNA (ENSSMRG00000009508.1)". The record is from RNAcentral. Lineage: Eukaryota; Metazoa; Chordata; Lepidosauria; Squamata; Teiidae.